UUUGAAAAGUCGUUACAAACUUCCAUCUCUGAGGGCAGAUACAAAUACAGAUUUCUAACUGCCCAAACGGAAUAACCAGAUCAGAUACAGAAAUGACAAUUUGCUCAGGCCCACUUCUGGCAAACCAAACCAUGAUAUGAUCUAUGACCACGGCUGUACCAACCAUAGUAGUUCUAACAGAUAAUCUAUAGUCAUGACAUUACUUAGCCAAGGGUGAACCCUAUAGAUAGUGCGAUACCACUCUCGCUA
This 249-nucleotide long non-coding RNA is filed under the name Carica papaya (papaya). RNAcentral describes it as "long non-coding RNA (CPAP_LNC001111)". Lineage: Eukaryota; Viridiplantae; Streptophyta; Magnoliopsida; Brassicales; Caricaceae. The record is from RNAcentral.